CUCUUCACCUUGAUCCAUAGAGCUUUCUAUUUGCAAAAGAACCAAAGGAUCUUGACUCAAUUCCUCACAAUUCAAAGGUUUUCCUCAACUGCAUUUUGCUUCGAACCAGCUCAUAUAUUGUUCCAUUUGCCUUGUUUUUAUGUGAUCUGAAGUCCUCUACAUAGAGGCAACAUUAUUGUGCUUUCAAUUUUUGAAAAUCAUUGAGUUCACUUGAACACCAUAAAACUUCCAU
This 232-nucleotide long non-coding RNA is filed under the name Lathyrus oleraceus (garden pea). RNAcentral describes it as "Pisum sativum (pea) long non-coding RNA (PSAT_LNC036921)". The record is from RNAcentral. Lineage: Eukaryota; Viridiplantae; Streptophyta; Magnoliopsida; Fabales; Fabaceae.